CGAAGGGUGCAAGCGUUACUCGGAAUUACUGGGCGUAAAGCGUGCGUAGGUGGUUCGUUAAGUCUGUCGUGAAAGCCCCGGGCUCAACCUGGGAAUGGCGAUGGAUACUGGCGGGCUAGAGUGCGGUAGAGGGUGGUGGAAUUCCCGGUGUAGCAGUGAAAUGCGUAGAGAUCGGGAGGAACAUCAGUUGCGAAGGCGGCCACCUGGACCAGCACUGACACUGAGGCACGAAAGCGUGGGGAGCAAACAGGAUUAGAUACCCUGGUAGUCCACGCCCUAAACGAUGCGGACUGGACGUUGGGAGCAACUAGGCUCUCAGUGUCGAAGCUAACGCGUUAAGUCCGCCGCCUGGGGAGUACGGUCGCAAGACUG
RNAcentral lists this ribosomal RNA (372 nucleotides) under uncultured organism. Its description in RNAcentral is "bacterial SSU rRNA". It matches the Rfam family "Bacterial small subunit ribosomal RNA", at positions 526 to 896 of the family's 1533-position model. The record is from RNAcentral.